CGUCACGUAGAGUAGUUGUAGUAUGGCUCAGGACGAACGCUGGCGGCGUGCCUAACACAUGCAAGUCGAGCGGGGACAUACGACGGAUCGGAAGUUUCGGAUGGAAGAGAAGAUGUAUGUUCUAGCGGCGGACGGGUGAGUAACGCGUGAGCAACCUGUCCUUCACAGGGGGAUAACACAGCGAAAGUUGUACUAAUACCGCACGAGACCACACUGGGACAUCCCAGAGGGGGUCAAAGGAGCAAUCCGGUGAAGGGUGGGCUCGCGUCCGAUUAGAUAGUUGGUGAGGUAACGGCCCACCAAGUCGACGAUCGGUAGCCGACCUGAGAGGGUGAUCGGCCACAUUGGGACUGAGACACGGCCCAAACUCCUACGGGAGGCAGCAGUGGGGAAUAUUGGGCAAUGGGGGGAAAAACCCCUGACCCAGCAACGCCGCGUGAGGGAAGAAGGUUUUCGGAUCGUAAACCUCUGUCCUUGGUGAAGAGUAAGAGACGGUAGCCAAGGAGGAAGCCCCGGCUAACUACGUGCCAGCAGCCGC
Molecule: ribosomal RNA, 538 nt
Filed under: uncultured bacterium
Lineage: Bacteria
Description: bacterial SSU rRNA
Rfam family: Bacterial small subunit ribosomal RNA
Source: RNAcentral